AAUGAACGCUGGCGGCGUGCUUUACACAUGCAAGUCGAGCGAGGCGGGUAGCAAUAUCUAGUCGAGCGGCGGACGGGUGAGUAACGCGUGGAUAAUCUACCUUUUGGUGGGGGAUAACCCGGGGAAACUCGAGCUAAUACCGCAUGAGAUCGAAAGAUGAAAGGGGCGCAAGUCCCGCCGGAAGAGGAGUCCGCGUCCGAUUAGCUAGUUGGUAGGGUAAUGGCCUACCAAGGCGACGAUCGGUAGCCGGCCUGAGAGGGUGAUCGGCCACACUGGAACUGAGACACGGUCCAGACUCCUACGGGAGGCAGCAGUGGGGAAUUUUGCGCAAUGGGCGAAAGCCUGACGCAGCAACGCCGCGUGGAGGAUGAAGGUCUUUUGGGAUUGUAAACUCCUGUCAGCAGGGAAGGAGGCCUCGGCGCAGAGCCGAGGAUUGACGGUACCUGCAGA
Molecule: ribosomal RNA, 450 nt
Filed under: uncultured bacterium
Lineage: Bacteria
Description: bacterial SSU rRNA
Rfam family: Bacterial small subunit ribosomal RNA
Source: RNAcentral